CCAUGCAGUUCGAGCGAGAAGCUCAUGAUUGANACUUCGGUCGAAAGAAUGAGCGGAAAGCGGNGGACGGGUUGAGCUAACGCGAUGGGCAACCUGCCUCACACAGAGGGAUAGCCAUUGGAAACGAUGAUUAAAACCUCAUAAUGCAUUUUAUCCACAUGGAUAGAAUGCCAAAGAUUUAUCGGUGUGAGAUGGGCCCGCGUCUGAUUAGUUAGUUGGUGAGGUAACGGCUCACCAAGGCAGCGAUCAGUAGCCGACCUGAGAGGGUGAUCGGCCACAUUGGAACUGAGACACGGUCCAAACUCAUACGGGAGGCAGCAGUGGGGAAUAUUGCACAAUGGGCGAAAGCCUGAUGCAGCAACGCCGCGUGAGCGAUGAAGGCCUUCGGGUCGUAAAGCUCUGUCCUUGGGGAAGAAAAAAAUGACGGUACCCUUGGAGGAAGCCCCGGCUAACUACGUGCCAGCAGCCGCGGUAAUACGUAAGGGGCGNAGCNGUUAUCCGGAAUUUAUUGGGGCGUUAAAGAGUGCGUAGGUGGUUACCUAAGCGCAGGGUUUAAGGCAAUGGCUCAACCCAUUGUAUGCCUUGCGAAANUGGGCUUACUUGAGUGCAGGAGAGGAAAGCGGAAUUCCUAGUGUAGCGGUGAAAUGCGUAGAUAUUAGGGAGGAACACCAGUGGCGAAGGCGGCUUUCUGGACUGUAACUGACACUGAGGCACGAAAGCGUGGGGAGCAAACAGGAUUAGAUACCCUGGUAGUNCACGCCGUAAACGAUGAGCACUAGGUGUCGGGGUCGCAAGACUUCGGUGCCCGCAGUUAACGCAUUAAGUGCUCCGCCUGGGGGAGUACGCACGCAAUGUGUGAAACUCAAAGGAAUUGACGGGGGACCCGCACAAGCAGCGGAGCAUGUGGUUUAAUUCGAAGCAACGCUGAAGAACCUUACCAGGACUUGACAUCCUUCUGACCGCUUCUUAAUCGAAGCUUUCCUUCGGGACGGAAGAGACAGGUGGUGCAUGGUUGUCGUCAGCUCGUGUCGUGAGAUGUUGGGUUAAGUCCCGCAACGAGCGCAACCCUUGUCAUUAGUUGCCAUCAUUAAGUUGGGCACUCUAGUGAGACUGCCGGGGAUAACUCGGAGGAAGGUGGGGAUGACGUCAAAUCAUCAUGCCCCUUAUGUUCUGGGCUACACACGUGCUACAAUGGUCGGUACAGAAAGCAGCAAUACCGUGAGGUGGAGCAAAUCUUGAAAACCGAUCCCAGUUCGGAUUGUAGGCUGCAACUCGCCUACAUGAAGUUGGAGUUGCUAGUAAUCGCAGAUCAGAAUGCUGCGGUGAAUGCGUUCCCGGGUCUUGUANACACCGCCCGUCACACCACGGAAGUUGGGGGUGCCCAAAGUUGGACCAGUAAAUAGUUACCUAAGCAACC
This 1417-nucleotide ribosomal RNA is filed under the name bacterium NLAE-zl-G129. RNAcentral's name for it is "bacterial SSU rRNA". It matches the Rfam family "Bacterial small subunit ribosomal RNA". The record is from RNAcentral.